AAAUGUCUCGUGACCAUCCGGGGACCAAGCUGUGCCCUAAACCCAGAGCUCUGGACUCCAAAGGCAAGGGCCUGCUCGUGAAAAGCUUCCUCUGCUGUGUCCUGCUGCGUUCAGGAGUUUGCCGUUAGAGAAAGAAGAUGAGAGCAUCUCCUGGGUGGAACCCAGCUGGCCCAGGCCUGAUGGGCUCUCUGUUCCCCUGGCCUGUGGGGCCGCAGUCUGCAGCCUGCAGGUGGGGAGGGGUCCUCUCUGUCGACCAGACACCACUGACCAGGACACGUGAGGGCUCCGUGGACCAGAACGACAGAGCUUGGCCCCCUGCUGGCCGGACGUCCCCUCCCCUCGGAAGACCCCCUGCUCUGCAUCUGCACCCGUACCUCCCGUCUCCCGAAUCCUCCCUCAGCUGGCUCCAGUGUGCACUCAGCGCGCAAGCAGUUCAUACCUAGGUAUGUGUCAGCUAGAAAAGUUGGGCUCCUUCAAGGGACUCAAGAAAGAGUAGGGGCCCUUCCAGAGGUCACGGCACAAACCAUCGAAGUGAUGGAGAGACAGCAGGGCCGGUGGGGAGGAUCGUGGCCCUGGACUCGAGAGGGGAGAAGUGCCGUGGGCCUGUCCUUUUCUUUGCAUCCCCAGAUGUUAGCAAAGGAUGUUGUCUUGGUCUGUGCACUCAAGUCGGAAAGAAGAAUUUUCUAGAUGUCCAGCAAGGUGAAGAAAAGGCACAUUUAUUGAGGCGAAGGACACCAUUAAAGGCAGGAGGCGGAUUUCCUGAUCAUCCGGGAGAGACGACAGUGAGCACGAGGUGGAAGCUACAAGGAAGGCCUGAAAAAGAGUAACUGCGACGAGUGACUCCCUGACCCCCCAGCCCUAGCCCUGCAGGCUCCUCUUUGUCGGGCCCCCACAGUGAGUUUUACUUUCUCGACCGCACCCCCAACAUGCAAAAUUUCCCAAGCCAGCGAUCAAACCUGAGCCACAGCAGUAACCAGAGUCACAGCAGUGACAAUGCUGACUCCUUAACCCCCUGAACCACCAAGGAACGCCAGAGGCUGUGCUUUGUAUUGAGGUGCAGUUCAGGAGCAUAACCUAAGGUAUGUACCAGCAAGCUCUCCACUUUGCAGACAAGAAAACAGGCACAGAGAAGCUAACUGCUCAAAGCUGCUAGCUGGCGCAGCCGGGGUUUGGAUCCAAGAAGCCUGACUUCAAGGCUCUGUUUCUGUGGGGGACACUGCCAGGGGCCCCCCGUCCAUUCUCUCCCCCCUCGGUAAAGAAUAGUUUACUCUAGAAUAUUGCCUCCUAGAGUAGAAGACAUUUCUUAGCCUCCUGCAGCUGUAUGUGUGCAUAUGAAUAAGUUCCACCCUUUGAAAUAUCAGUGGCAGAUGGAGCUGGGCACUCUGAGCUGUUCCCUUAACAAGGAGGAGGCGUGCACGUACUUCUUCCUCCUGUUUGGAACAGAGAUGUGAUGGCUGAAGCUCCCGAAGCCACUUUGCACUGUGAGAAAAGCACAGACUCCUUCAUGGUGGCCGGCUCUGCUCGUUGUGACUUGUAGUAACCAUCACCAGACCCGCAGCCAACUUCUGUAAGACGUGUGCAGGGCUCCUGGGAGCCCCGAGGGACCUCGGGAGGGAAAGGAACACCUGCCUUCUAGCAGCUGGCAGACCGCAGCCAGUCCUGAUGGAGAGCCCCGAGGAAAGGCGGGCUGUGAGAACACAGGAUACUGGCCCCGGACAGCUGAGAUGCACAUCAAAGAAAUGAUUUCAGUGAGCCCAGACCUUGGCAUCUUCCCAAAUAAAAGUGCUAAAUUCCUUAACUUGAGACCUCUGGUUUUGUUAUUAGCAGCAAUCUUUUGUCCCUAUUUGCCAUUUUGCAAAACUCCUAUGGAUCCUGGC
Sus scrofa (pig) is the source of this 1877-nucleotide non-coding RNA. The record is from RefSeq and is a predicted model, not a curated record. Lineage: Eukaryota; Metazoa; Chordata; Mammalia; Artiodactyla; Suidae.